CAAGUCGAACGAACUCUGGUAUUGAUUGGUGCUUGCAUCAUGAUUUACAUUUGAGUGAGUGGCGAACUGGUGAGUAACACGUGGGAAACCUGCCCAGAAGCGGGGGAUAACACCUGGAAACAGAUGCUAAUACCGCAUAACAACUUGGACCGCAUGGUCCGAGUUUGAAAGAUGGCUUCGGCUAUCACUUUUGGAUGGUCCCGCGGCGUAUUAGCUAGAUGGUGGGGUAACGGCUCACCAUGGCAAUGAUACGUAGCCGACCUGAGAGGGUAAUCGGCCACAUUGGGACUGAGACACGGCCCAAACUCCUACGGGAGGCAGCAGUAGGGAAUCUUCCACAAUGGACGAAAGUCUGAUGGAGCAACGCCGCGUGAGUGAAGAAGGGUUUCGGCUCGUAAAACUCUGUUGUUAAAGAAGAACAUAUCUGAGAGUAACUGUUCAGGUAUUGACGGUAUUUAACCAGAAAGCCACGGCUAACUACGUGCCAGCAGCCGCGGUAAUACGUAGGUGGCAAGCGUUGUCCGGAUUUAUUGGGCGUAAAGCGAGCGCAGGCGGUUUUUUAAGUCUGAUGUGAAAGCCUUCGGCUCAACCGAAGAAGUGCAUCGGAAACUGGGAAACUUGAGUGCAGAAGAGGACAGUGGAACUCCAUGUGUAGCGGUGAAAUGCGUAGAUAUAUGGAAGAACACCAGUGGCGAAGGCGGCUGUCUGGUCUGUAACUGACGCUGAGGCUCGAAAGUAUGGGUAGCAAACAGGAUUAGAUACCCUGGUAGUCCAUACCGUAAACGAUGAAUGCUAAGUGUUGGAGGGUUUCCGCCCUUCAGUGCUGCAGCUAACGCAUUAAGCAUUCCGCCUGGGGAGUACGGCCGCAAGGCUGAAACUCAAAGGAAUUGACGGGGGCCCGCACAAGCGGUGGAGCAUGUGUUUUAAUUCGAAGCUACGCGAAGAACCUUACCAGGUCUUGACAUACUAUGCAAAUCUAGAGAUUAGACGUUCCCUUCGGGACAUGGAUACAGUGGUGCAUGGUGUCGUCAGCUCGUGUCGUGAGAUGUUGGUAGUCCCGCAACGAGCGCAACCCUUAUAUCAGUGCAGCAUUAAGU
RNAcentral lists this ribosomal RNA (1097 nucleotides) under Lactiplantibacillus plantarum. Its description in RNAcentral is "bacterial SSU rRNA". It matches the Rfam family "Bacterial small subunit ribosomal RNA", at positions 58 to 1126 of the family's 1533-position model. Lineage: Bacteria; Bacillati; Bacillota; Bacilli; Lactobacillales; Lactobacillaceae. The record is from RNAcentral.